RNAcentral lists this ribosomal RNA (1353 nucleotides) under Metaplax longipes. RNAcentral describes it as "16S ribosomal RNA". The stretch from base 643 to 1353 matches the Rfam family "Archaeal large subunit ribosomal RNA", at positions 1423 to 2796 of the family's 2987-position model. Lineage: Eukaryota; Metazoa; Arthropoda; Malacostraca; Decapoda; Varunidae. The record is from RNAcentral.
ACUAUUUUUAUUUCUAGUUAAAUUGUUAUAAAAUUUUAUUGUUAAGAAAAAUAAUUUAAUUGUUAAAUAUUAGUUAGUAAAUUUUCUUGAAAAGUGAUUUGAACUAUAGUUUAUAAGUACUGUGAAGGAAAGUUUUAAAAAUAAAAAUAGUAGAUUUUAUUUUUGUACCUUGUGUAUCAGGGAAGAUUUAUAUAAUUUAAUAAUUAAUUAAAUUUCUCGAAAUAGGGUAUAGCUAAUUUUAUAAUAAGUUUUUGUAGAAAAUAAAUUUUUAAUAUAAAAUUAAAGGUGAAACACUAAUCGAGCUCUAUAAUAUCUAGUUUUUUGAAAAUGAAUUUAAUUUUAUUUUAAUAGUUAUUAAAUGUUAAAAUGAAAUGUAGGAGGGAUAAGCUUCUUAUAAAUUAAAAUUUUUAAUAGUUAAAAAUGAAUAAAAGUAGUUAAUUAGGCUUAAAAGUGGCUAUAUUAAAAAAGUAUUUAAACUAAGCUAAUGUAAUGUUUAAUUGUAUUUAAUAUUUAUUUAUGGCUUUAUUUUUUAUCAAAAAAUUGAUUUAAUUUAUUUUGUUUAAGUUAAAAUGAUUUUAUUAGUAUGGAAUUUGAUGUUUUGAAUUAAUUUAUUUAAAUAAUUAAAAUAAUUUAAUAGUUUAUUCAUAAUGGUAGUAUAAAGGAACUCGGCAAAUUUUAUUUCUUUGCCUGUUUAUCAAAAACAUGUCUGUUUGUAGUUAUAAAAAGUUUAACCUGCCCACUGAUUUAUAAAAAGUUAAAUGGCCGCGGUAUUUUGACCGUGCAAAGGUAGCAUAAUCGUUAGUUUUUUAAUUGGAAUCUUGUAUGAAUGGUUGGACAAAAGAAAAUCUGUCUUUAUAUUAUUUACAUAAUUUAACUUUUAAGUGAAAAGGCUUAAAUAUAUUAAAGGGACGAUAAGACCCUAUAAAGCUUUAUAUUGAAAUGUUACUUAGUUGAAUUUAAAAUUAAUAAAUAAUUUGGUGACUUUAAUUUAUUUUAUUGGGGCGAUAAGAGUAAAAUGAUUAGUAACUGCUUGUAAAUAAAUACAUUAAUUUGUGAUUACAUUAACUAAAUGAUCCUAGUUUAAAGAUUAAAAGUUUAAGUUACUUUAGGGAUAACAGCGUUAUUUUUUUUGAGAGUACUUAUCGAAAAAAAAGUUUGCGACCUCGAUGUUGAAUUAAAAUUUCUUUAUAAUUGUAGCAGUUAUAUUAGUAGGUCUGUUCGACCUUUAAAAUUUUACAUGAUUUGAGUUCAAACCGGCGUGAGCCAGGUUGGUUUCUAUCUUUUAAUUAUAAUUAUAAUUACUUUAGUACGAAAGGAUUUAGUAAUUGAAAUUGUUUUGAUUUAAAGUUGUUU